RNAcentral lists this unclassified non-coding RNA (380 nucleotides) under uncultured Verrucomicrobiae bacterium. Its description in RNAcentral is "contains 16S-23S intergenic spacer region". Lineage: Bacteria; Pseudomonadati; Verrucomicrobiota; Verrucomicrobiia. The record is from RNAcentral.
UCACUGCUUGCGCAGGCAGUCUCUCUAGAGUCCCCACCAUGACGUGCUGGCAACUAAAGAUAGGGGUUGCGCUCGUUGCGGGACUUAACCCAACACCUCACGGCGCGAGCUGACGACAGCCAUGCAGCACCUCUACUCGCUCCCUUGCGGGUCGUUCCACUUUCAUGGUUCUACCACUUGCAUGUCAAGGCCAGGUAAGGUUCUUCGCGUUGCAUCGAAUUAAGCCACAUACUCCACCGCUUGUGCAGGCCCCCGUCAAUUUCUUUGAGUUUUAAUCUUGCGACCGUACUUCCCAGGCGGCUUGCUUAUCGCGUUAGCUUCGCCACAAAAGGGGUCGAUUCCUUUUACAGCAAGCAAGCACCGUUUACGGCUAGGACUAC